UGCCAGCCGCCGCGGUAAUACGGGGGAUGCAAGCGUUAUCCGGAAUCAUUGGGCGUAAAGCGCCUGUAGGUUGUUUAUUAAGUCUGUUGCUAAAGACUAGGGCUUAACCCUAGAAAAGCAAUGGAAACUACUAGACUAGAGUAUGGCAGGGGUAGAGGGAAUUUCUAGUGUAGCGGUGAAAUGCGUAGAUAUUGGGAAGAACAUCAGUGGCGAAGGCGACUCACUGGUCCGAUACUGACGCUGAGGUGCGAAAGCGUGGGUAGCAAACAGGAUUAGAUA
This 279-nucleotide ribosomal RNA is filed under the name uncultured bacterium. RNAcentral's name for it is "partial 16S ribosomal RNA". It matches the Rfam family "Bacterial small subunit ribosomal RNA", at positions 506 to 784 of the family's 1533-position model. The record is from RNAcentral.